UAUUGGACAAUGGGCGCAAGCCUGAUCCAGCAAUGCCGCGUGAGUGAUGAAGGCCUUCGGGUCGUAAAGCUCUUUUACCAGGGAUGAUAAUGACAGUACCUGGAGAAUAAGCUCCGGCUAACUCCGUGCCAGCAGCCGCGGUAAUACGGAGGGAGCUAGCGUUGUUCGGAAUUACUGGGCGAAAGCGCACGUAGGCGGUUACUCAAGUCAGAGGUAAAGCCCGGGGCUCAACCCCGGAACUGCCUUUAAACUAGGUGACUGAAUCUUGAGAGGCGGGUGAAUUCCGAGUGAGAGGUAAAUUCGAGUUUCGAAGACACCAGUGGCAAGGCACUCGCUGGCAAGUUUGCGCUGCGUGAGAUA
Molecule: ribosomal RNA, 360 nt
Filed under: uncultured bacterium
Lineage: Bacteria
Description: bacterial SSU rRNA
Rfam family: Bacterial small subunit ribosomal RNA
Source: RNAcentral